Molecule: long non-coding RNA, 1331 nt
Filed under: Homo sapiens (human)
Lineage: Eukaryota; Metazoa; Chordata; Mammalia; Primates; Hominidae
Description: CYRIB antisense RNA 1
Source: RNAcentral
GGAGGGAAUGCCAGGAAGUGAGGGCGCCGCGGACCUGUCCGGCCGUGCGCAUGCGCCGCACGCCCGCCCCGCAAGGAUGAAUGAACACUGAAUCCUUUAGAAAACAGCUCCAAACAUUUCCACCAUAGUCAGGGACUCCAGUGUUGCCUUAGGGAUGAGGACUCCAUGGAUAUUUAACGAAGAAAGGGGAAGAGGACAGGGGACAGAGGCCUGAGAAUCCCCUGGGAAGGGCUAGAAGCUCAUCCAGCAUUGAAAGAUGACAUCAGAGCCGCUAUUCAAAAAGAACCCAAUUUAUCAACCUUUCUUAAUAAAGGAACGUCAGCCACAUCGCUGUUAAAGGCUAUAUAACACUCCGCUGUGCAGCUCAACCAUGAAGUGUUGAAUGAUUCUGGAGUUCAGCUGAAGGGAGGUUUCUUCAAUGUCAAUAAAGGAAAAGGCACAGGCACAGGAGGGCGCCACCUGAAGGAAGGGACAAGAUGCCAUAAAAUCAUAGAUGGCUCCAGAGGAACGGAAGGGAGAAAAAGGGUGGGCCGUUCACUUCUGAGCUUCACCCCACUGUGACCCCAAAACCUAUGGAGAGAAAUACCAUCAUUAGAAGACAAAAGGAUUUAAUGUGAAAUAUAAUGACAGAAGAACUAUUACCACCAAUAUCUCUGAUCAAUUGCUUAGUUUCUGCCAUUAUUACAGAAAGUGAUUUCUACCCAUUUAUAAUGCAAUCCUUACAACAUUAUGAAAGAUAUUUUAUUACUUCCCUGUUUUCAGAUGAGAAAAUGGAGGGACAAACAGUUCAAGUACUUUGCCAUAGGUUACAUACCUACGAGGAGGUGAACCAGGAUUCUAGACCAAGUCUUAGCUCCCUGCUUUGCAUAAAUCAUUCCACCUGCCUUGCUUCUCCAGCCCGUUUUCCUUUCUGUAAACAUUAACUAAAUCCCUCAGUGACCAAGCUCCACCUGAAAUACUACACUAAGGCUGGGCAUGGUGGCUCAUGCCUGUAAUCCCAGCACUUUGGGAGGCCGAGGUGGGCAGAUCAUUUGAGGUCGGGAGUUCGAGACCAGCCUGACCAACACAUAGAGAAACCCUGUCUCUACUAAAAAAAAAAAAAUACAAAAAUUAGCAGGGCGUGGUGGUGCAUGCCUGUAAUCCCAGCUACUCGGGAGGCUGAGGCAUGAGAAUCACUUGAACCCAGGGGGCAGAGGUUGAUUGCGCCAUUGCACUCCAGCCUGGGCAAAAAGAGCGAAACUCCAUCUUAAAAAAAAAUAAUAAUAAUAAUACACUACUCAUCUAUAAAACAGCCACAAUUAUCACCUACUUCACUGUGUUAUUGUGAGCAC